AUUAAAUCGCGACCUCUAACAGAUUCUCACGUUUCCAAAGGUACCUGAAUGCACCUCGUUUAGAGCCCGGGAAGUUUGGGGGUUCCGUUUAUUAUUGCGGCCAUAAUGAGGGGAUAAGUAGUGUUUUAAAGCCGUCUGAGCUCACGUCACACGGAAAACCCCAGCGAAUAUUAUAAGUUUAAUUAUAAAACUUUUAACUAUUCUAACUCUCUCUCUACUUUUAAAAUUAAAAACUGUAAUUUUUCUUUUACUUAAGUAUGCUAUGUUUUCUUCGAAGUAUUGUACUUAGGUACACUACGGAAAUCACAUUUGUUACUGUCAAAAAAGGGGAAAUUAAAUCGCGACCUCAAACAGAUUUUCACGUUUCCAAAGGUACCUGAACGCACCUCGUUUAGAGCCCGGGAACUUUGGAGGUUCCGUUUGUUAUUGCGGCCAUAAUGAGGGGAUAAGUAGCGUUUUAAAGCCGUCUGAGCUCACGCCACACGGAAAAUCGCAGCGAAUAUUAAAAGUUAAAUUAUAAAACGUAAUAAGAUAAAUAUGAUCGACCAGUAACGUGUCUACGGUGUGGUUUUUCUUAUGAAUAUUGAAGCGGUCGGAGAGGAUAGAGUGUCCACCCGCGAUGCUCUUACAUUCGUAAGGUGCUAACAAACGGAUAAUUCCUGACUUUAUAUAUAGAAGUUUGGGAGAAUGUAACAGCGAAAUAGAGUUGUUGUCACUGGAAAUGGUAAUUUUUACUCCACCUUAAUUACGUUAGCAUAAGCAACAGGUUAUAACACGUUAUAAGUGUAACGUAAGCAGCAGUUAGCAAAAAACUUCAGUGUUUCCGGUCACAUCAGUGUUGUUUCUGGUGAACAGCAGAAUGGCCUCCGUUCCUCGUUGUAAACACAGACUGCGCAGGAGGUUUUCCCUGAAGCACUUUGGGCAGAAUCCCAGUGUUGGGCAAACCACCAGCAUCUCCUGAGAUUCCUGGAGAAAAACCUAGACACAUGUCCAAGAUAUUCCAAGACCAUCUCUCCAAGG
Molecule: long non-coding RNA, 1020 nt
Organism: Cynoglossus semilaevis (tongue sole)
Lineage: Eukaryota; Metazoa; Chordata; Actinopteri; Pleuronectiformes; Cynoglossidae
Exons: 3
Source: RefSeq, a predicted model, not a curated record